Molecule: ribosomal RNA, 460 nt
Filed under: uncultured bacterium
Lineage: Bacteria
Description: partial 16S ribosomal RNA
Rfam family: Bacterial small subunit ribosomal RNA
Source: RNAcentral
CCUACGGGUGGCAGCAGUGAGGAAUAUUGGUCAAUGGGCGCGAGCCUGAACCAGCCAAGUAGCGUGAAGGAUGACUGCCCUGCGGGUUGUAGACUUCUUUUAUCAAGGAAUAAAGUGACGGACGUGUGCCUUUUUGUAUGUACUUUAUGAAUAAGCAUCGGCUAACUCCGUGCCAGCAGCCGCGGUAAUACGGAGGAUCCGAGCGUUAUCCGGAUUUAUUGGGUUUAAAGGGAGCGGAGAUGGGUUGUUAAGUCAGGUGUGAAAGUUUGGGGCUCAACCGUAAAAUUGCAAUUGAUACUGGCAGUCUUGAGUACAGUUGAGGCAGGCGGAAUUCGUGGUGUAGCGGUGAAAUGCAUAGAUAUCACGAAGAACCCCGAUUGCGAAGGCAGCGUACUAAACUGCCACUGACAUUGAUGCUCGAAAGUGUGGGUAUCGAACAGGAUUAGAUACCCUUGUAGUC